Molecule: ribosomal RNA, 445 nt
Filed under: uncultured bacterium
Lineage: Bacteria
Description: partial 16S ribosomal RNA
Rfam family: Bacterial small subunit ribosomal RNA
Source: RNAcentral
CCUACGGGUGGCUGCAGUGGGGAAUAUUGCACAAUGGGCGCAAGCCUGAUGCAGCAACGCCGCGUGCGGGAUGACGGCCUUCGGGUUGUAAACCGCUUUCAGCAGGGACGAAGCGCAAGUGACGGUACCUGCAGAAGAAGCACCGGCUAACUACGUGCCAGCAGCCGCGGUGAUACGUAGGGUGCGAGCGUUGUCCGGAUUUAUUGGGCGUAAAGAGCGUGUAGGCGGUUAGUCGCGUCGGAAGUGCAAACUCAGGGCUUAACCCCGGGGCUGCUUUUGAUGCGGGGUGACUAGAGGAAGGUAGGGGAGAAUGGAAUUCCCGGUGGAGCGGUGGAAUGCGCAGGUAUCGGGAGGAACACCAGUGGCGAAGGCGGUUCUCUGGACCUUUCCUGACGCUGAGAAGCGAAAGCGUGGGGAGCAAACAGGAUUAGAUACCCCGGUAGUC